Molecule: unclassified non-coding RNA, 252 nt
Filed under: uncultured fungus
Lineage: Eukaryota; Fungi
Description: partial contains 5.8S ribosomal RNA, internal transcribed spacer 2, and large subunit ribosomal RNA
Source: RNAcentral
AACGCACAUUGCGCCCCUUGGUAUUCCAUGGGGCAUGCCUGUUCGAGCGUCAUUUGUACCCUCAAGCUUUGCUUGGUGUUGGGCGUCUUGUCCCGCGUUUGCGUGUGGACUCGCCUUAAAGCGAUUGGCAGCCGGCAUAUUGGCCUUGGAGCGCAGCACAAUUUGCGUUUCUAGUCAUGAAUGUUGGCGUCCAUUAAGCCUAUAACAUUUGCUCUUGACCUCGGAUCAGGUAGGGAUACCCGCUGAACUUAA